RNAcentral lists this small nuclear RNA (105 nucleotides) under Erinaceus europaeus (western European hedgehog). Lineage: Eukaryota; Metazoa; Chordata; Mammalia; Eulipotyphla; Erinaceidae. The record is from RNAcentral.
GUGCUCGCUUCAACAGCACAUAUACUAAAAUUGGAACGAUACAGUGGAGAAUAUUAUGGCCCCUGUACGCAGUAUAACUUGAUUCAUGUGGCAUUCCCUUUUUUU